RNAcentral lists this ribosomal RNA (465 nucleotides) under Vreelandella stevensii. RNAcentral's name for it is "partial 16S ribosomal RNA". It matches the Rfam family "Bacterial small subunit ribosomal RNA", at positions 338 to 795 of the family's 1533-position model. Lineage: Bacteria; Pseudomonadati; Pseudomonadota; Gammaproteobacteria; Oceanospirillales; Halomonadaceae. The record is from RNAcentral.
CCUACGGGCGGCAGCAGUGGGGAAUAUUGGACAAUGGGGGGAACCCUGAUCCAGCCAUGCCGCGUGUGUGAAGAAGGCCCUCGGGUUGUAAAGCACUUUCAGUGAGGAAGAACGCCUGGUGGUUAAUACCCAUCAGGAAAGACAUCACUCACAGAAGAAGCACCGGCUAACUCCGUGCCAGCAGCCGCGGUAAUACGGAGGGUGCGAGCGUUAAUCGGAAUUACUGGGCGUAAAGCGCGCGUAGGUGGCUUGAUAAGCCGGUUAUGAAAGCCCCGGGCUCAACCUGGGAACGGCAUCCGGAACUGUCAAGCUAGAGUGCAGGAGAGGAAGGUAGAAUUCCCGGUGUAGCGGUGAAAUGCGUAGAGAUCGGGAGGAAUACCAGUGGCGAAGGCGGCCUUCUGGACUGACACUGACACUGAGGUGCGAAAGCGUGGGUAGCAAACAGGAUUAGAUACCCCGGUAGUC